RNAcentral lists this ribosomal RNA (492 nucleotides) under uncultured bacterium. Its description in RNAcentral is "partial 16S ribosomal RNA". It matches the Rfam family "Bacterial small subunit ribosomal RNA", at positions 29 to 507 of the family's 1533-position model. The record is from RNAcentral.
AGUGAACGCUGGCGGUAGGCCUAACACAUGCAAGUCGAACGGCAGCACAGUAAGAGCUUGCUCUUACGGGUGGCGAGUGGCGGACGGGUGAGGAAUACAUCGGAAUCUACUUUUUCGUGGGGGAUAACGUAGGGAAACUUACGCUAAUACCGCAUACGACCUACGGGUGAAAGCAGGGGAUCUUCGGACCUUGCGCGAUUGCAUGAGCCGAUGUCGGAUUAGCUAGUUGGCGGGGUAAAGGCCCACCAAGGCGACGAUCCGUAGCUGGUCUGAGAGGAUGAUCAGCCACACUGGAACUGAGACACGGUCCAGACGCCUACGGGAGGCAGCAGUGGGGAAUAUUGGACAAUGGGCGCAAGCCUGAUCCAGCCAUACCGCGUGGGUGAAGAAGGCCUUCGGGUUGUAAAGCCCUUUUGUUGGGAAAGAAAAGCAGCAGGUUAAUACCCCGCUGUUCUGACGGUACCCAAAGAAUAAGCACCGGCUAACUUCGUG